Molecule: ribosomal RNA, 175 nt
Filed under: Hypericum perforatum
Lineage: Eukaryota; Viridiplantae; Streptophyta; Magnoliopsida; Malpighiales; Hypericaceae
Also listed under: 5 other names
Description: 5.8S ribosomal RNA
Rfam family: 5.8S ribosomal RNA (bases 14-169)
About the family: 5.8S ribosomal RNA (5.8S rRNA) is a component of the large subunit of the eukaryotic ribosome. It is transcribed by RNA polymerase I as part of the 45S precursor that also contains 18S and 28S rRNA. Functionally, it is thought that 5.8S rRNA may be involved in ribosome translocation.
Source: RNAcentral
UCAUAACAAUAACGACUCUCGGCAACGGAUAUCUAGGCUCUUGCAUCGAUGAAGAACGUAGCGAAAUGCGAUACUUGGUGUGAAUUGCAGAAUCCCGUGAACCAUCGAGUCUUUGAACGCAAGUUGCGCCCGAAGCCUUCUGGCCGAGGGCACGCCUGCCUGGGUGUCACACAUC